RNAcentral lists this ribosomal RNA (497 nucleotides) under uncultured bacterium. RNAcentral describes it as "partial 16S ribosomal RNA". It matches the Rfam family "Bacterial small subunit ribosomal RNA", at positions 28 to 507 of the family's 1533-position model. The record is from RNAcentral.
GAUGAACGCUGGCGGCGUGCCUAAUACAUGCGAGUCGAGCGAACAGACGAGGAGCUUGCUCCUCUGACGUUAGCGGCGGACGGGUGAGUAACACGUGGAUAACCUACCUAUAAGACUGGGAUAACUUAGGGAAACCGGAGCUAAUACCGGAUAAUAUAUUGAACCGCAUGGUUCAAUAGUGAAAGACGGUUUUGCUGUCACUUAUAGAUGGAUCCGCGCCGCAUUAGCUAGUUGGUAAGGUAACGGCUUACCAAGGCAACGAUGCGUAGCCGACCUGAGAGGGUGAUCGGCCACACUGGAACUGAGACACGGUCCAGACUCCUACGGGAGGCAGCAGUAGGGAAUCUUCCGCAAUGGGCGAAAGCCUGACGGAGCAACGCCGCGUGAGUGAUGAAGGUCUUCGGAUCGUAAAACUCUGUUAUUAGGGAAGAACAAAUGUGUAAGUAACUAUGCACGUCUUGACGGUACCUAAUCAGAAAGCCACGGCUAACUACGUG